This 253-nucleotide ribosomal RNA is filed under the name uncultured bacterium. RNAcentral's name for it is "partial 16S ribosomal RNA". It matches the Rfam family "Bacterial small subunit ribosomal RNA", at positions 524 to 776 of the family's 1533-position model. The record is from RNAcentral.
UACAGAGAGUGCAAACGUUGUUCGGAAUUACUGGGCUUGAAGCGCACGUAGGCGGCGUUGUAAGUGUCGGGUGAAAUCCCACGGCUCACCCGUGGAACUGCCCGGCAUACUGCGAUGCUAGAGUGUGGUAGGGGAGAGCGGAACUCCUGGUGGAGCGGUGAAAUGCGUAGAUAUCGAGAGGAACACCGGUGGCGAAGGUGGCCAACUGGACAGAUACUGACGCUGAGACACGAAAGCGUGGGGAGCAAACAGG